ACCUGUUAAGGAAACCCUAAACCCGAACACGAAUCCGACCCGCCACCUCCAAACCCGGACACGACCCGGACACGACCCAAACACGAUAGCGACACGAACCGCUUUGGGUUGACCCGACACGAUAGCAACACGAUAUCGACCUGAAUACGAUAGCAACACGAUAGCGACACGAUAGCGACACAAUAGCAACACGAUAGCGACCCGACACGAUAACAACACGAUAGCGACACGGACCGCUUUGGGAGGUUACCCGCAUCCGACCCGCACCCGACCCGCACCCGACCCGAAUUUUUCGUGUUCUUAUUGGGUCAACCC
Salvia splendens (bonfire salvia) is the source of this 315-nucleotide long non-coding RNA. RefSeq lists it as uncharacterized. The record is from RefSeq and is a predicted model, not a curated record. NCBI's taxonomy places the organism in Eukaryota, Viridiplantae, Streptophyta, Magnoliopsida, Lamiales, Lamiaceae. The transcript is spliced from 2 exons.